GUAGGUGGCAAGCGUUGUCCGGAAUUAUUGGGCGUAAAGCGCGCGCAGGCGGUUCUUUAAGUCUGAUGUGAAAGCCCACGGCUCAACCGUGGAGGGUCAUUGGAAACUGGAGAACUUGAGUACAGAAGAGGAAAGCGGAAUUCCACGUGUAGCGGUGAAAUGCGUAGAGAUGUGGAGGAACACCAGUGGCGAAGGCGGCUUUCUGGUCUGUAACUGACGCUGAGGCGCGAAAGCGUGGGGAGCAAACAGGAUUAGAUACCCUGGUAGUCACGCCGUAAACGAUGAGUGCUAAGUGUUAGGGGGUUUCCGCCCCCCUUAGUGCUGCAGCUAACGCAUUAAGCACUCCGCCUGGGAGUACGGCCGCAAGGCUG
RNAcentral lists this ribosomal RNA (371 nucleotides) under uncultured organism. RNAcentral describes it as "partial 16S ribosomal RNA". It matches the Rfam family "Bacterial small subunit ribosomal RNA", at positions 527 to 896 of the family's 1533-position model. The record is from RNAcentral.